This is a non-coding RNA of Pelobates cultripes (western spadefoot toad), 357 nucleotides long. NCBI's taxonomy places the organism in Eukaryota, Metazoa, Chordata, Amphibia, Anura, Pelobatidae. The record is from the annotation of a GenBank genome assembly.
GGAUGGCUUUCACCAGAUGCACCUGAGUUCCCUGGAGUGGUAUCCAGGAUCCGCGAAUGUAGGAUUAUGGACGACUUAACAGCCAGAGUGAAGGGAUCGACAGAAACAUUCCUAAAACUCUGGGAACCGUGGGAUAAUAGUGUCGUGGGUUCUAGAGAGGACAGAUAGGAUUGAACGAAAGAUGUAAAGGGGUCCUUACAGUAAAGCUAAACCAGUAGCGGAGUCCUCCUCCGACCCGAGGAUCUAUUCGACACACUUGGCAUAGGGACAUCUGGCUGAGCCUGCUGUCCCCCCCCCCUUCGGAUGUCAUCCCUUGAAGUCCUUUCCUCGCCGCCUCUGGGUCACCGCAUUCACCAC